UUCCACUCAUGCAUUGUUGGAAUGGAAGAAGGAAUAAUUGAAAUAUUUUAAGGACAUAUUCCCCCAUCAGUUCCUUUCCUCUGGUAGUCGGCUACUCUUUUUCUAAUCAUUGCCUUGAAGACAGGCUAUAAUAAGAGAAAGCAGAGAAAAAGGCACCUUUUUCCUGGUGUUUGGGUUUUUAAAGGGCUCAGAAAAAUAGGUGAGGGAAAACAGCUGAAUAAGAACAAGGGCUUCCCAGGUUGGAAGAGAACGUAGUGUUGAAGGGAAAUGGAAGAUGGAGCCUCAGAGAGUGGGGAAAACGCAGAGAAGAAAUGACCCUGGAGUAUCUCAUGGAAGCAUCACUGUGACAGGAGCAGAAGACUCCCCAGGGCCAGAGAUUGGCCUAGAAGUAGAUUAGAGACCCAUCCAACCCAAAGAUGGGGGAAAGGGAGAACACGCAGCAUUUUGGAUAUGUCAUUCCACAGGCUCUGGCCUCCGUGGUUUCCGAUGAGGUGUCAGCUCUUCAUCUUUUUGGCCCUCAAUCUCAUCAUUAUCUCAGGCACUGAAGAGCUGGGGCUACAGAGGCAAACAUGACCAACAAGGACCCUCCCUUCAGAGGGCUUAUGUUUUAGUUGAAGGGGAAAGAUCACAGCAAGGAAACAAA
RNAcentral lists this long non-coding RNA (643 nucleotides) under Homo sapiens (human). RNAcentral describes it as "HSALNT0009763". Lineage: Eukaryota; Metazoa; Chordata; Mammalia; Primates; Hominidae. The record is from RNAcentral.